This 891-nucleotide ribosomal RNA is filed under the name uncultured bacterium. Its description in RNAcentral is "bacterial SSU rRNA". It matches the Rfam family "Bacterial small subunit ribosomal RNA", at positions 8 to 916 of the family's 1533-position model. The record is from RNAcentral.
AGAGUUUGAUCCCUGGCUCAGGACGAACGCUGGCGGCGUGCCUAACACAUGCAAGUCGAGCGAGGGGAGUUCUUCGGAACGAACCUAGCGGCGGACGGGUGAGUAACACGUGGGUAACCUGCCUCAAAGAGGGGGAUAGCCUCCCGAAAGGGAGAUUAAUACCGCAUAAUCCAUUGUUUCCGCAUGGAGAUUAUGGUAAAGAUUUAUCGCUUUGAGAUGGACCCGCGGCGCAUUAGCUAGUUGGUGAGGUAAUGGCUCACCAAGGCGACGAUGCGUAGCCGACCUGAGAGGGUGAUCGGCCACAUUGGAACUGAGACACGGUCCAGACUCCUACGGGAGGCAGCAGUGGGGAAUAUUGCACAAUGGGCGAAAGCCUGAUGCAGCAACGCCGCGUGAGUGAUGAAGGUCUUCGGAUUGUAAAGCUCUGUCUUUUGGGACGAUAAUGACGGUACCAAAGGAGGAAGCCACGGCUAACUACGUGCCAGCAGCCGCGGUAAUACGUAGGUGGCAAGCGUUGUCCGGAUUUACUGGGCGUAAAGGGUGCGUAGGUGGAUAUUUAAGUCAGAUGUGAAACCCCUGGGCUCAACUCAGGGACUGCAUUUGAAACUGGAUAUCUGGAGUGCAGGAGAGGUAAGUGGAAUUCCUAGUGUAGCGGUGAAAUGCGUAGAGAUUAGGAAGAACACCAGUGGCGAAGGCGACUUACUGGACUGUAACUGACACUGAGGCACGAAAGCGUGGGUAGCAAACAGGAUUAGAUACCCUGGUAGUCCACGCCGUAAACGAUGAGUACUAGGUGUAGGGGGUAUCGACUCCCUCUGUGCCGCAGUUAACACAAUAAGUACUCCGCCUGGGAAGUACGAUCGCAAGAUUAAAACUCAAAGGAAUUGACGG